Molecule: ribosomal RNA, 1572 nt
Filed under: Lactobacillus helveticus
Lineage: Bacteria; Bacillati; Bacillota; Bacilli; Lactobacillales; Lactobacillaceae
Description: bacterial SSU rRNA
Rfam family: Bacterial small subunit ribosomal RNA
Source: RNAcentral
CAAAAUGAGAGUUUGAUCCUGGCUCAGGACGAACGCUGGCGGCGUGCCUAAUACAUGCAAGUCGAGCGAGCAGAACCAGCAGAUUUACUUCGGUAAUGACGCUGGGGACGCGAGCGGCGGAUGGGUGAGUAACACGUGGGGAACCUGCCCCAUAGUCUGGGAUACCACUUGGAAACAGGUGCUAAUACCGGAUAAUAAAGCAGAUCGCAUGAUCAGCUUAUAAAAGGCGGCGUAAGCUGUCGCUAUGGGAUGGCCCCGCGGUGCAUUAGCUAGUUGGUAAGGUAACGGCUUACCAAGGCAAUGAUGCAUAGCCGAGUUGAGAGACUGAACGGCCACAUUGGGACUGAGACACGGCCCAAACUCCUACGGGAGGCAGCAGUAGGGAAUCUUCCACAAUGGACGCAAGUCUGAUGGAGCAACGCCGCGUGAGUGAAGAAGGUUUUCGGAUCGUAAAGCUCUGUUGUUGGUGAAGAAGGAUAGAGGUAGUAACUGGCCUUUAUUUGACGGUAAUCAACCAGAAAGUCACGGCUAACUACGUGCCAGCAGCCGCGGUAAUACGUAGGUGGCAAGCGUUGUCCGGAUUUAUUGGGCGUAAAGCGAGCGCAGGCGGAAGAAUAAGUCUGAUGUGAAAGCCCUCGGCUUAACCGAGGAAUUGCAUCGGAAACUGUUUUUCUUGAGUGCAGAAGAGGAGAGUGGAACUCCAUGUGUAGCGGUGGAAUGCGUAGAUAUAUGGAAGAACACCAGUGGCGAAGGCGGCUCUCUGGUCUGCAACUGACGCUGAGGCUCGAAAGCAUGGGUAGCGAACAGGAUUAGAUACCCUGGUAGUCCAUGCCGUAAACGAUGAGUGCUAAGUGUUGGGAGGUUUCCGCCUCUCAGUGCUGCAGCUAACGCAUUAAGCACUCCGCCUGGGGAGUACGACCGCAAGGUUGAAACUCAAAGGAAUUGACGGGGGCCCGCACAAGCGGUGGAGCAUGUGGUUUAAUUCGAAGCAACGCGAAGAACCUUACCAGGUCUUGACAUCUAGUGCCAUCCUAAGAGAUUAGGAGUUCCCUUCGGGGACGCUAAGACAGGUGGUGCAUGGCUGUCGUCAGCUCGUGUCGUGAGAUGUUGGGUUAAGUCCCGCAACGAGCGCAACCCUUAUUAUUAGUUGCCAGCAUUAAGUUGGGCACUCUAAUGAGACUGCCGGUGACAAACCGGAGGAAGGUGGGGAUGACGUCAAGUCAUCAUGCCCCUUAUGACCUGGGCUACACACGUGCUACAAUGGGCAGUACAACGAGAAGCGAGCCUGCGAAGGCAAGCGAAUCUCUGAAAGCUGUUCUCAGUUCGGACUGCAGUCUGCAACUCGACUGCACGAAGCUGGAAUCGCUAGUAAUCGCGGAUCAGAACGCCGCGGUGAAUACGUUCCCGGGCCUUGUACACACCGCCCGUCACACCAUGGAAGUCUGCAAUGCCCAAAGCCGGUGGCCUAACCUUCGGGAAGGAGCCGUCUAAGGCAGGGCAGAUGACUGGGGUGAAGUCGUAACAAGGUAGCCGUAGGAGAACCUGCGGCUGGAUCACCUCCUUUCUAAGGAA